This is a non-coding RNA of Pelodiscus sinensis (Chinese soft-shelled turtle), 1309 nucleotides long. NCBI's taxonomy places the organism in Eukaryota, Metazoa, Chordata, Testudines, Trionychidae. The record is from RefSeq and is a predicted model, not a curated record.
UACCUCAUUACCAGCCUAUCAGGCCCAGCCAGGGAACAGACCCUAAUAAGGUACCGGAUAUCAAGUUAUGUUAUAAAAGACCCUCGACCCCUUUGUUCAGUGAGGUUCCGAGUGUUGAGGACACUUGUCUUUUUUGUCCGGCUGAAGGAUUAAUCACUCUGAGGCUGCCUCCCUACCCUUCGAGUCAAAGAUAGGGGUGCGCGAGUUCUGAGCAUGCUCCGAGUUCUCGUGUGUCUUUACGCUGUUAUCGUUGCUGAAUUUUUAUUGAUCCAGAAAAGAACCUUCCCAUGAAUGCCUUCUUUGCUUAAGAGCAUUUGGUGAGAGACCUUACAAAUGAGGCAUAAUGGCACAACAGUUGGAUGGAGGAAGCACAAGGAAACAAGCAGACAAUACUAGUCAUCACAUAAGCAUGCCAUUUUUAAAAUACUGUGCAAAACUGGUGGUCAAGGCUAUCAAUAGAGUGCUGCUCCACAGAGUCAUCCACCUUGUCGAUGUCAAUGCGGUCAUCGAGGGGUUUGGCGCCCUGGGCUUCCCCACUGUGGGGGGGCUAUCAAUGGCACACACAUCCCAAUCUGUGCCCCGGAAUACCAGGCCUCCCUCUAUAUCAACUGCAAGGGACACUUUUCCAUUAUCCUGCAGGCUGUGUCUGACCACUGGGGCCAGUUUGUGGACAUCAAGGUGGGCUGAUCCAGCAAAGCACACGACGCACGUGUGUAUCACAACUCCUCCAUUUGCCAGAGGCUGCACGUCAGGACUUUCUUCCCCGACCACCACAUCAGGGUUGGGGAUGUGGACAUGUCUGUGUGCCUGGUGGGUGAUGCGGCCUAUCCUCUACAAUUCUGGCUCAUGAAGUCAUACACAGGACACCUCAACCCUCCCCGAUAGGCAUUUAAUGCCAGGCUCAGCAGAGCCCGCAUCAUGGGGGAGGGUGCUUUCGGCUGGCUGAAGGCCCAAUUUAGAUGCCUCCUCACCUGCCUGGACCUCUCCAAGCAGACUAUUCUGCACAUGGUGGCAGCGUACUGUGUGCUGCACAAUUUGUGCGAGAGGAAGGGGGAGGCUUUCCUGCCAGUCUGGGUGGCAGAUGCCAAGCACUUGGCUGGCCUGUACAUGCAGCCCCACAUGGCUGCCAGCCAGGAGGCCCAGCGGGAGGCUGUCCAUAUCCAGGAGGCCCUGUGGGAGAGCUUCCACCUGGAGGAGGACUAAAGUCUCCCUUUUGUGCCCCACUGGGGGCUUGUGCCUCAUUCCACCCUCACGUCCUUCCAUUUACCUCUCCCUAACCCCCCUUCCUGAUAUAUAAUAAAGACAUGUG